Megalops cyprinoides (Indo-Pacific tarpon) is the source of this 795-nucleotide long non-coding RNA. RefSeq lists it as uncharacterized. The transcript is spliced from 3 exons. NCBI's taxonomy places the organism in Eukaryota, Metazoa, Chordata, Actinopteri, Elopiformes, Megalopidae. The record is from RefSeq and is a predicted model, not a curated record.
UGGAGCCCUCGUGGUCCUCGUCUGAGUCCGUGCCUGAGUCCUGACACCCCUUGCCUGAGAGGUAAAAGGGGCUGUCAAUUUCCCUUCCACCUCCUCACUUUAAGUUCAUCUUCAUGGGUUAGAUCCAAUGGGGAAUCUACAGAAUCCCUGUGGGAUGCAGAAACAGAACUUUUCAGUGCAACAAUGUCUCUGGAAAACUUCCACAUUUCCAGGAUUAUCUGCUUUGAUAACCGAGACACCAGACCAGCUGUGGGACAAGUGGGUGGACCGCCUUCCCUGUUUUACAGCCCUGGGCCCAAUGUUACUGUUGAUGAGCAGCUUAUGCUAUUUAGGGGCCGCUGCUCCAUCAGGCAGUACAUACCGUCUAAACCCACAAAAAAAUGGAAUCAAGAUCUGGGCUGCCUGUGAUGCUGCUUCAUCACAUGUGUGGAACUUGCAAGUGUAUACGGGGAAGCCAGAUAGAGAAGCCCCUGAGAAGAACCAAGGGAUUUGAGUUGUCCUGGACAUGACACAGGGACUCUGUGGCCACAAGAUCACAAACUUUUUUACUUCACACAAGCUGGGACAGGAGCUCCUAAAGAUGAAGCUGACAAUGGUAGGAACAGUACAAAAAACAAGCCAGAGCUCCCACCUCAACUGUUGACUACACAGAACAGGCCUGUCAACCCCAGCCUCUCUAGCCAUUGUGAGGAGGAUUCAGGAGGAGGAUGCUGGUGCCCCAUCCGCCUGACCCACAGAACCACCAACUGCAGUACCUGAACACUGACCCACUGAGGCAUGGACUCUGCAAGACCC